GUGCCAGCAGCCGCGGUAAUACCAGCUGCACAAGUGUAUAUUAAAGUUGUUGCAGUUAAAAAGCUCGUAGUUGGAUAUCUGUCUUGGCUGACCUAGCCCUAGGCCUUCGGGAUUCUGGUGUGCUGGUUGUGGAGACCUCUGCUUCGGCAGUUGUGUUUCCCGUCAUGUCGGACAUACUUCAGGAAAUCUAUCCUGCCAUUAAUUUGGUUGGGGUAAGGAUCCUGAUCGUUUACUUCGAAAAAAUUAGAGUGUUUAACGCAGGCUUUUAGUCGCGAAUAGAUUAGCAUGGAAUAAUAAGAUAGGACUUCGGCAUCGUUAGUGAGUGCCUUGGUGGUGGUUGACUCGUGCUCUUCGGAGUGCGUUGUUAAUUGCUUGCCUUGGAUUAACGCCUGCUUG
Molecule: ribosomal RNA, 396 nt
Filed under: uncultured eukaryote
Lineage: Eukaryota
Description: bacterial SSU rRNA
Rfam family: Eukaryotic small subunit ribosomal RNA
Source: RNAcentral